CUGAGGGACCCAUUUACUUUGCCAGUGCUAGCAUGGUGAAGGCUGAGGCACCAGGUGAUUCUGGUUACAAACCUUUAGCCUGGGCCAGAGGCACAGCAGUUACCGGAGGUGUUCUGUCCAUCGUUUUUGUUAUAGGUGUCUGGAAUUACAAGAGGAUUCACACCACAAAAAGUGAACAAGUAUAAAUAGAUAUAAAUAAAUAGUUUUCUACAAAU
Bombina bombina (fire-bellied toad) is the source of this 215-nucleotide long non-coding RNA. RefSeq lists it as uncharacterized. Lineage: Eukaryota; Metazoa; Chordata; Amphibia; Anura; Bombinatoridae. The record is from RefSeq and is a predicted model, not a curated record. The transcript has 2 exons.